UUAAAUAGCAUGGUUUAGUGGGCAGCAGCAAUUAAGUGCAGCUACAAAUAUCUGCUAAAAAUAUCACCCUCCACUAUAGAUCCCAGCUUGACUGAAGUAUCAAGUUGUGGACUGCCCAACUGAAAUAUCAAGUUGUGGGCUGUGUUGGGAACAAUAGAACCUUAUCUGCUCUCCACCAUACUUUAAUUGUUGUACAAGUUGGAUAUUUUGUGCAGUCGACUAGGUUCAAUGCUUGGGUUGGGUUUGUAAACCUGAGAGGAAUUGGGUGCAUGAAGGCCACAUAGGGUAGCUCAAGUAGUGAUGGCACUCUUGGAAACCCAUGUCCACUACAUGUUAAGCAAAUGCAGUGACAAUUGCCCAAUGUUCAGGUGUUUAAAGGGCAGCGAGCAAUGGAAAUCUCCUUUCUACCUCGAGCUCUACUCACAGACUACUGCAAUGGUGUGAGAUUCAUGUGUGCUUGCCAGGGUUAACCCUCUCCCUAGCCCCAGGGUAGCCCUGUCUAGAACUACGCGCGCCAACACCCAGUCUGGUGACCGCGCUCACCUGAGUGAUCACCUUGUCGUGGCUAGGCCGACUCAAGCAGGCAUUGGUCCAUAUUGUGCCUAUCUCAUAUCCCCUAUAGAUCAGUGAACCUCACCAAGCUGUUUUCCCUAACGCUACUAUCAUGCUUUUGCUGGAACAGGGGCAUGUCGUCGUGAUCUGGUGCUAUGGGCAGCUCCACCACAUACCAUACAACUCACGCUUUCCUCAAUCAACCUCGCGCGAGCACCGUGAUCUAUGUAAGUCAGUGAUACUCUCCAUGUCUUUGGUUUGAGCUCUACCAUAGAGGUGCAUCAGAAUCGGGCACGCCGAGUCAAGAACUCCGUGGGUAUUGUGGCAGGGGUGGACUGGUACUUGUCGUGGGUGUUGGAGGAUUGAGGUUAAUGCGGGUUGGCUAUGAACACAUGUCAGAGGUGAUUUGUGGGUGCCAAUGACCUACGCCGCCGCUGCCAUAGUCGUCGGUUCACUGGAGAACUAUGCGGCGGUGUUGGGGCCGUGAAGUUGUGAAUGAGCCGAAGCCGAGGGGUGUGCGUGAAACUGUCGGUGACUCAGCCAAACAGUGGCUCAGAGUCAUAUCAGUUUAGUUAGAGCAGCGGGGUCUUUUAUGCAAAAACGCAGGCGCGGGCCGUUGGCCACGGGCCAGUUUUGCUUGGUUCUGGGCUGUCUAGAUUAAUUUAGGCCCAACACUAUUCACUACUUUACCUUUUUCUUUUGUCUGAAAGCUUGGAUGUUGUCCCAAAAAUAGUAGAAAAUUUAAAAAAUCAUAGGACAAAUUUUGUUGGAUGUCUAAAAUCAAGAGCUCUCUGGUAAAGUUGGUGUUAGGAUUUUUAGAUCAGUUAGCAAAUUUUAAGUGAAGUUAAGGUGCUCUUAGAAGGACUAUUGGAACUUUAUAAAUUUGAUUUGGGUACCAAAAAUCAUGGGAAUUUUUGGAGAAGCUUGUUAUGAGAAGUUGAACAGUUGGUAAAAGUUUGGGGAUAUUUGGAAGCUUGUUGCUCUAGAAACCUUGUAAGCCCCAAAAUAAAAUGGUUAAUCCCUAAUCAGGUGUGGGUUAGUGGUUUGGAAACGAGAUGAGUUUAUUUAGUGAGAGUUGGUCUUUAGAGGAAGGAACCAAAGGAAGAUUAAUCCCUACGUAAAUUCAAUUUGGCCACUUUUAUCAAGUGCUAGGUUGUGUAGAAGUAUGUGUAUACUUGUCAUGUACUUAUUUAGGAGUGUUUAUGUUCCCCACCUCUCCUUGUGAGAGUUUGCAUGUCAUAUCAUUACAUAAGCAUUCAUGUAUUUGUAAUUGACUUGUAGAACACUUAGAAGAAGUGGUGUUUUAAGAAGGAGUCUACUCCAGUGUCUGUUGAUCAAGUGGAAGAACCAUUUAACUAGGUAUUUAAUAUAGGGAUCUAGAACCUCUUCACUGCAAUAAGGCAAGUCCGACUGGAUUUGCCCCUUCCUUGUAUUUUUAGAAAGACUUUUAUACACUUUAAGUCUAGUGAAAUGUGCAUUAAGUUUAUAAGAGUUGCUUGGAAACUAUUUGAUGCAUUGACUACCUUGAUAUCCAUUCCUGUUAUAGAUACUUCUUUGGAAGUAUCAAAUAUUGUUUACAAAAAUUGCUUAGCCCUACCUAGAGGUAAGUCUUGCAAAUAGAGUUGGUCAUUUGCACUAAUGCCUAGCUCAGGGUUUAUCCUGAGGAAGGAUGGCUCUACCUACAAGAAUAUUUUCACCAGGAUCAUGGGGAGAUCUAAUGCAAGGUUACUUGUGACGUUUUAAUCAUCCUAAGGUACAUAAAUAUGUCCUAAGGGUGAAAGUACUUAAAUCGAGACUUAGGCUAGGAACAGGUGAUGUUCUGCCUAGGUUGAUUAAGGAUUAUAGGGAAUACAGGCUUGAUGAUCGAGGACUAUAUUAACUAGCCACAUGCCCCGAUAUGGGACAGGUUAAGCCUAAUAUUAGCUUGACCAAUACAAGAAAGGCUACCACGCAACGGGAGUGGAGAGAUGGCGAGAGUAGUGUGUACCCUCCAUGGCAAGAGGCUAGACGGUGGAGUAACUGUGCUCUCGGUUGGCGUGAACCCGGUCUGGUCUUGAGAUAGCAGGGAGCGGGUUGGCAUAUGCAAGGGUUAAGUGCUACAUAUGUCAUGUGGUUAGGGAUCCCCAGCUGGGUAAAUAGAUUUGGAUCGCCGUUAUAUCCUCGGACAAUGGAGACUUGACCACUGCCCUGCAAUUUAAGUCAUGUAUGGAAUCAUAAUGAGCAAAAAUCAUGUUGUAUUGAUUAAUGUGAUGAUGAAAUUAAACUAGAUGCAAACAAGGUCUAUUAAUACUUAAUCUAGCAUUAAAAUUUUGAAAGUAAGGACUCAUUUUAGUAAGCUUUUCUGCAAACUAUUAAAGUUGAUUCUUGCUAAAAGCCUUUCCUUGAUUCCCAAAUCCAGCAUAUCCUUGAGAGUUUUUUUCCUUAGUCGGGUAAGACUUGUGAAAGUACACUCUGUACUUAGGAUUUUCGAACCCAUGUUGUUGUAGGUAAUCAGGAGUAUUCUAGAUGUCCCUGUGGCUGGAAGAUGCUUCUAGUCUUGAAGGAGGAUUAGUUAGGUUUAUGUAUGAGCUUUGGAAGGGAUCUACCUUCCUACUUUUGUAUGUAAGUUAUGCACUUUGAGUAUAUCAGGACUUGUAAUAAUUAUAAAUCUUUCUAGCAUGUAAAACUUGAGUUUUGGAAUAAAGAAUGUUUUGUAAAGUCUUCUGCUCUAUCUCCGAAGUGUGUGUGUAUCGAAUGUGAUUACUGUAAUAUACAUGUUUGUGUGAGAUCUCUAGGAUAAUGAGUUCAAGUUGUUGAACUCCAUAGCCUUGUUAAGUUACACGGUACACGUGCAUAGCCAUAUGAGGCCGUUAAUGGCAAGGAUUGGGGCAUGUGGGCCUAAUAACUUGGGAGGGCUAUCACACUUUGGUAUAAUGUUACUAUAUCCAUUAUUUGCUUGAUUGUAUGUACUGCUACGAGUAGAGGCAAUAUCGCGAGGAAUCUGGAGGCCAACUUUUGGGACAACAUCUGAACUACAAGGUUAUCGCAAGUAUAAG
Molecule: long non-coding RNA, 3587 nt
Filed under: Zea mays
Lineage: Eukaryota; Viridiplantae; Streptophyta; Magnoliopsida; Poales; Poaceae
Description: long non-coding RNA (ZMAY_LNC004360)
Source: RNAcentral